CAGAUUUUGAUGUGGGGGUGAGGGCUGGAGGAACAUGGCUGCUCCCUCGCUGCUGGAAGAUGGCUGCCACGAGUCCCCAGUUGUCAGGCUCCAACCUGACCUACAUUGUUAAUACCCACCACGAGUAAGAAGGGCUGUUACCCCCACACAAAUCUGAUUAGGUGCAAGUUACUUUUUUUUUUUUUUUUUUUUUUUUUCUCCCUGCUGUACGCCCAGGAAAUUUCUGUAUUAGGAAAAGUUGCCUGCUUGGGGGAGGACAAGGCCUCAGGUAUGCUCAUCCCUGCUUAAAAUGGAAGCAGCUCUGCCUCAGCCAGAGCUGUCACCUUGUAAAAUCUGGCAUGGGGUCUUGCAGGCAAGGAGGUGCUCCCAGCAGCACAGAAAUGGGCCAGGGUAAACCAGAUUGUGCCCGUGCAUAUAGGAGCUAUAAUAUUGGGCAGAGGUGAAGCUAGUAGAUUAGUACAGACUGAGCAACCCAUGCCUGUAAUCCUUGCUCCUCUGACAAGUCAGCAGGCCCACUUUAAGCCCUUCUGCAAGAGGUCCAAGGCAAUGUCCCCAUGGCACACUGUAUCCUCUGUCCCUGUCCACUGCAGCAUCUUGCUGGCAGAGGCAGGGUGAGUACACUGCCACCCUGCCGGCACCCUUGCUCAAGCCAUGUGUGAGAGGCAAGGACAGGGAUUUGGCCUGAGGAAAGCUGUACCAAAGCCGUGCCAAAGCUGUGUCCUGCUUCCCUAAUUGAGCAGGAAUUAAGGCAGCAGUGGUGGUGUCACCCCUCCGCCCACCUCAACUGAGAAGCAGGCAUUAGUGGCCACCCAAGCAUUUGCAGCUGGUCGUAGCGGCGCUGAGGAUUCAGGCGACUGCUUCGGUGAAAUGAAAGAAUGAUUUCUGACAGCAGCUGAGACUGCUGUGGUGCCUGGGGAAAGUGUGGUGUUGUCAUCAUGCAGGCAGCCAGCAAGAAAAGAAAAUUUUUCCUCCACCUUCUACAUCUACUCACCCAUCCCCCUGUACUUUUUUGUUUUUUUUUGGUUUUUUUUUUUUUUUUUUGGUACUAGAAAUAUUUCAGGCACAAUUAAAAAGGCGUUAUUAGCAUUUAAUUGGUUUGGAGUCCUCACUGUGAUGUUGAGCCCUGGUGCUGAUGUCAUCCCAGUUGUCAUGGUUACAGGUGAACAAGCCGCUGGAAGUGCAAAAUCAGCGCCGGGCUCCAAGGGGAAGGGAGGAUGGAGGGGGGAACCUGGGGAGGAACCCGAGGCUGGAAAUGAGCGAGCAGAAACAGCUGCCAUCGCCAGCCCUGCCUCCAUUCCCCAUCUUGUGUGA
RNAcentral lists this long non-coding RNA (1311 nucleotides) under Anas platyrhynchos platyrhynchos (common mallard). RNAcentral's name for it is "lncRNA (ENSAPLG00000017308.1)". Lineage: Eukaryota; Metazoa; Chordata; Aves; Anseriformes; Anatidae. The record is from RNAcentral.